RNAcentral lists this ribosomal RNA (274 nucleotides) under uncultured bacterium. Its description in RNAcentral is "partial 16S ribosomal RNA". It matches the Rfam family "Bacterial small subunit ribosomal RNA", at positions 523 to 796 of the family's 1533-position model. The record is from RNAcentral.
AUACGGAGGGUGCGAGCGUUGUUCGGAAUUAUUGGGCGUAAAGAGCAUGUAGGCGGUCUGUUAAGUCUGGUGUGAAAGCCCGGGGCUCAACCCCGGAAGUGCAUUGGAUACUGGCAGACUUGAGUAUGGGAGAGGAAAGCGGAAUUCCGAGUGUAGGAGUGAAAUCCGUAGAUAUUCGGAGGAACACCAGUGGCGAAGGCGGCUUUCUGGACCAAUACUGACGCUGAGAUGCGAAAGCGUGGGGAGCGAACAGGAUUAGAAACCCCGGUAGUCC